RNAcentral lists this ribosomal RNA (91 nucleotides) under Microtus ochrogaster (prairie vole). The record is from RNAcentral. Lineage: Eukaryota; Metazoa; Chordata; Mammalia; Rodentia; Cricetidae.
GUCUGUGGCCAAACCACCCUGAAUGUGUCCCACCAUAUCUGAUCUUGGGAACUAAGGAGGAUUGAACCGAGUUAGUAGGUGGACAGAGACA